GGGAAGCAUCCGGAUAAGGUUCAGUGGAGUAGUAUAAUAGGAAUACGGGAGGAACCGGGAAUAAGGUGGAGGAGACAGAAUAAGAAGAGAGAAUGAGGUGGAAUAGAGGGAAUAAAGUGGAGGAGAGGGAAUGUCAGACAUGGAGCAUCCCAACAGAUAUUUCAACCCAGGCACCUCAUAGCACAAAGGAGACCGAUGAGACAGAGGAUCAGGUCUGACGGCCUGUCUGUCCCCCUGAAGAUAGCUGAUGCUGCACCUGUCUGUGCAGUCAGUUGAGUGGAGUGUUGGGAGGCCUCAGCCGUAGGCUACACAGACAGUGUUAGAACUAUUUCAUCUUUCAAGUCCCCCCAUGACUUCAGGAGAUGUAUUUUCAAUCAGAAUAAGCUAUUCUGGUAUUCUAGAGGUCGUAUCAGUUUGACGACUGAAGUCGACUUGAGUGGUCUGCCGCAUACCGACUCAUUGAGACAAACAUAAUUGAAGCGUUUCAGGUCAACUUUGAGUGAAUCCCAGAGAGCACAGCCUUUGCGGAUUUCCCCCUUCGGUUCUAUAAUUAAACUGAGUGUACUUUUCUGUAGACUGGCUGGGGAUACGCUCCUUGUUAUGAACAUUCAUUUGCAUCCAGUUCAUACGGGAAAUGUGAGGGGGGAAACAAGAGGAUUAUCUGAGAGAGAGCAACAGAGAGAGAGAGAGAGAGUUUGAAUAAAGAAAGAACGGCCUCCUUCCCUCCAAACAGCAUUCUUCCAAACCCCCAGGUUCUCUCUCAGAGAGGUCAGACUUGGGGUUCCUUCCCAGAAGUGGUCCCACCCUCCACAGCUCUCCAUAACAAAGCUCUGGAAUACUGAUUAGGAUAAUACUGAAUUAUAAUGUAUUUAAAGACAGGAUCAUACAAACAUUUGGGUUAUAUUACCACACUACGUGUACUAUGUGGAAAAGAGGAAGUGUGGACCAAUGUUAAAUCAAAACAAACUUUCUACACUGACAGUGAUCUCAACCAUCUGGUGAGGAUUUGUGAUUUUGCAACAUGUAGUUGCUACCGCACUAACUAGACUGUCUUCACCCGACUCAAUCCAGUUAAACUGGCUUGAUUAUGAAGGUUUCAUCAUGUGUUUCAUGUGGAUUUCAUAAUGUGUUUCUAUGUUUUUGCACACCUAUGGGCGUUUAUUAGUCUGUUUGAAUUCCCAGUAGCCAUUUGCAGGUACUUUAGCAAGAGCUAUACUCUGCCUUGUCUCAGGAUAGUAAGUUGGUGGUCGGUCGUAGAUAUCCCUCUAGUGGUGUGGGGGCUGUGCUUUGGAAAAGUGGGUGGGAUUAUAUCCUGCCUGUUUGGCCCUGUCCAGGCUUAUCAUCGGACGGGGACACGGUGACUUCUGACCCCUCCUGUCUCAGCCUCCAGUAUUUAUGCUGCAAAAGUUUGUGUCGGGGGCUAGGGUCAGUCUGUUAUAUCUGGAGUAUUUCUCCUAUCUUAUCCGGUGUCUUGUGUGAAUUUAAGUAUUCUCUCUCUCUCUCUCUGUCUCUCUCUGUCUCUCUCUGUCUCUGUCUGUCUCUGUCUGAGGACCUGAGCCCUAGGACCAUGCCUCAGGACUACCUGGCCUGAUGACUCCUUGCUGUCCCUAGUCCACCUGGUCGUGCUGCUGCUCCAGUUUAAACUGUUCUGCCUGCGGCUAUGGAACCCUGACCUAUUCACCGGACGUGCUACCUUGUCCCAGACUCUCUAGAGUUGACAACUGACAUUUACUCCUGAGUAUUAGCAUACCCAUGGUGGGAAAGUCCAGCAUGCCAUUUUCUGAUUGGGGCACCAAUGCCGAGGAAAACAGCCAACCAACGAGAGGACCCCCUGCAGGGACAGCUGCCGUGUCAUUCAAAUGAACUGAGGACAUUUCUGCUCAUCAUGACUCUCUCUGUGUGUGUGUGUGUGUGUGUGUGUGUGUGUGUGUGUGUGUGUGUGUGUGUGUGUGUAAGUAAAAAAGAGAGAGAGAGAUGGAGAAAGAGUCAGGGGGAAGCAUAGCGAAUUUGACCGAUUGAAAAUUGAUGCAGACCGUUUGUUUUUCCAACAUAAUGGAGCAUGAACACAGUGAAAAAUGUCACUUUUCAACACUCUUUCAGUGUUCUUUCAUCACUCUUUGUAGUGCCAUCUGAGGCCACAGGCUCGUUCCCUUGUUUUCGGGGGUAGGCGUUCAAAUGGGCCUUUUCCUCUGGGAGGCCUGAGUGGAACACAUUCAUCACAUGGGCUCCAAUCUCUCUCUCUUCUCACUUCUGACUUUUGGUCUCUCUUUUCUCUUGCUCUUUUCCUCUCUCACCCCAUGUAGCACAUUUGGUUCCUUGAAAUAUGUGGGAAUUAAGCCAUGAGUUUCCUGACCAUUAAAAUGUUUUUCCUCAA
Long non-coding RNA from Oncorhynchus keta (chum salmon), 2374 nucleotides. RefSeq lists it as uncharacterized. The record is from RefSeq and is a predicted model, not a curated record. The transcript is spliced from 2 exons. NCBI's taxonomy places the organism in Eukaryota, Metazoa, Chordata, Actinopteri, Salmoniformes, Salmonidae.